This 400-nucleotide unclassified non-coding RNA is filed under the name uncultured fungus. RNAcentral's name for it is "sequence contains ITS1". The stretch from base 1 to 106 matches the Rfam family "5.8S ribosomal RNA", at positions 50 to 154 of the family's 154-position model. Lineage: Eukaryota; Fungi. The record is from RNAcentral.
AAAAUGCGAUACGUAAUGCGAAUUGCAGAAUUCAGUGAAUCAUCAAAUCUUUGAACGCAAAUUGCGCUCUCGGGAUAGGCCUGGGAGCACGCCUCUUUGAGUAUCGUUUCAACCACAACUCGAAAGCGUGCUUAAUUGCACGCUGACGGAAAUUGAGCGCUUCUCGAGCAAUCGAGACGCUUGAAAUUGAGCGAGCGACACGAUUUCUGACGUGAAAUUGACUUUGUCUCAAGUGACGAGGAUAACUUCACAUUCAAUUGUGAACCCUUCCUUCGUGACUCUCGAGGCGGGUUGUUUCAUGCCGGUCAUCUGCAAUGUUGCGGACCCUCUGCAGGCGUCUCUUACGAUGACUGCAGAACUCUAUUUGAACUAGAUCUCAAAUGAAGCGAGAAAACCCGCU